UGAGGCUUUGCUCAGGGUGUAAUGAUGUGAACAUCUCAAGGCUAAUUUGUUUAUUAUAGUUUUGGAGCGGCGCUGGGGGCGCGUGCGUUCAGUGAUAGUAACAUUAGCCUCGCGUGCGUUCAGUGAUAGUAACAUUAGCCGCGCGUGCGUUCAGUGAUAGUAACAUUAGCCGCGCGUGCGUUCAGUGAUAGUAACAUUAGCCGCGCGUGCGUUCAGUGAUAGUAACAUUAGCCGCGCGUGCGUUCAGUGAUAGUAACAUUAGCCGCGCGUGCGUAAUCAUACAACUUCGUGUCUGAAGUUUGUUCAACCCAAUAGAGCUGUUUAACUGCCUCUAUUUCAUGUGGUGGUGUCAGUGGGCCUGAGUGUUCUAGCCACCACAUCACAGUGUCUGUAAUAUUUUAGUUUUUCUUUCUUUGCUUAUUGUUUAGUGUAUUGUGUAAUUCUGGGUUAAUUGGUGUUUUUCUUUCUCUCCAGGAGCCAGUGAGUCUUGGUGGACAGAGGGAAGCUAGCUGCCUUCAUUCGGUGGUGUGUGCUUCACAGCGUGCUCAGUGUCCCGGCACAACAACUUCCUUGUGGUGUAGGUAGUGUUUAAUGAUUUGGUUUUAAUUAAGGUGGGUUUGGAUGACCUCCCAGGAAGUAGCUGGCCUGCGUUGUUCCCACCAAGCCUGGGCCUGGAGAAUUGCUUAGUUUUAAAAUUCUUAUUGUGCUUCAUGGGUGGGUGACUUCAUAUUUAAGUUUUAAUGAUGCUUAAGUGUGAUAAUAAAAUGUAACUUUUAUUGAUACUCAUGUCUCACUCUCAUGUUCUUUGCCUUCAGUCGGUAAAACUUAUUUGGGAGUAUUUCCCUGGUUCUUUCCCAGGGUGGCGUAGUCGGAUUUACUAAACUGUGAUUAACAGUUCCUUCCAUGCAGGAUUGAUAUAUAAUAUAAAUCCAAGAACAUUACUGAACUAGAGGCCACUGCUCAUGAGGAAUGGGCUGAGAUUCCUCAGGACCGCUGGCAGAAGCUCUGCAUCUUGUUAUCAGCAGGUCAUAACAGCAAAAGCGUGCUCUACUAAGUACUAAAAAUGCCAUGAAGGGGUUGAAUAAUUUUGAGACUGGAGAAGUCAUUAUAAGUUGCAUUUUCAGUUGAAUUUGGGUAAACCACUUGAUGCAUUCAUUGUGUUGAACUAUUUCAAUUGCUUUUGUUUGAUGUGUUCAUUGCAAACAGUUGAAAGUCUAUAAAUUUUGACAAUAAACCUGAUUUGCAAUGGGGGUUGAAUAAUUUUGAUUGCAACUAUACGACUAUACUUAUAAUACACACUGCCUACACUUGCUAAAAGUUGCCAAAGGCAAUGUCCACAUGUGUCGGGUUAUUCACGCCCACUGUUUUGGUAUGGGAUGGAUGUUAGCUAGCUCAUUUAAUGCCAAUCGUAUGAAUCGGUUAUAAUAGACAGUGUUAACAUUAGCUGAGACAAAACUUAAAAUGUGUCACUGAACCACAAAUUAUCUAUAUUUAGCUUCUCAUUUUUUGAUGCUGUGGAAACAUUUUACACACGUCUCAAAGUUCAAUUUAUCUUUAGAGUUCAGUUUUACAUACUGCCAUUAUGUUGAAUUGUCUGUGACUGUCAGACUGAGUCAACAUUUCCCACUCUGAUCAUCACUGGGCUUUAAAGCGGUUGUGGUGUUUUGUUUUUCUCAGCAGUGUGAGUUAAACAGUGAGAAAGAGAGAGGAGGUGCUAAACUGAUUUUGCACCGCUGAUCCAUCAUUUCACAUUCUCAGGCUAAAUGAAGAAAAAAAUCUUUACAUGAUGGUGAAAAUAAAUUAAUAUUGACAAAAUAUAUAUCUUGACUAUAAUUAUAUAAUAAUUUUAUAAUUGGACUGGAUUGCUUUUUUCAAAAAAGUUCACAAUAUUAAUACUUUUGACAACACCACUCUCACAUCUAACUCCACAUGGACCAGCAAACUAACCCCUGCAUGUAGUGAUGGCCAGUUCUUGAAUGAACUGUUCUUUUGAGCUGAUUCUCCAGAAGUAAUCAGUUAAGCUGGUUCACAAAAUCAAACUGAAUCUAACUUUAAUUCCGGGUUGAUGACGCAAGAUGCACAGCUGUAGUAGCACGGUCCACAGCAUGUCCGACUCAAAAAGAACCGUAUGAACCGGUUCAACUAACUGUCGAGGUUUGCAGAGGAUCAGCGAGGAUUCAGACGAGUGAGUUGCUGACACUAUGCACAUGACUUGAACGAGCCUGAUGUGAAAUGUAAAUUUAUUUAAUAACAAACAAAACGUAUUGGAAUUGUACUUAUGGCUAGUUUUAUUAAAUACAUUCUUAUUAAAAUAUGGAAAAUCCUUUCUAUCAAGAAAUAUAAAUGAAUUUUAUUAAAGCUUAUUGUGUAUGCAGAUUAUAUUUUAAGUUGUUAAGCUAAAUCAUGGAGUUUAUAAGACUAGUUUAUUCUUUCCUUAUACUUCAGACACGUAGAACAUAUCUGUGUUUGUACAUCAGUGUGUGUUAUGUAUGCUGUAGGUGUAAAACUUUAAUGGAGGAGACUUGUCCAAGAUGUAGGCUACUCAAUACUGGUCAGUCGAAUCUUACACGAAGGAUCAGCAAAUUAAACUGUGACCACGAACACCGUUAACUUAAGUGAAUAAAAGGCAAUAAUCAGCAAUAUGCGUUCACACAAAUGACUUUAUUUGAAGGUUUCAUUGAUACAACAUGACAGACACAUGCACUACGCCAUUGCUUGAUGAUGUUAAAGCAGGGGUCGGGAACCUUUUUGGCUGAGACAGCCAUGAACGCCACAUAUUUUAAAAUGUAAUUCCGUGAGCCAUACAAUAUGUUUAAAACUAAAUACAAGUAAAUGUGUGCAUUUUAUGUAAGACCAACACUUUUAAAGUACAAUAAGUCUCUGAAUUCUUUUUAAUAACGUUGUUGUGCUGUUUCUUACCAAUGAUGAAUAAAGUACUUCUUGGCAUUAAUGCGACUUCUGGUGCUGCAGGGUUUUCUGAUGGCUUUGUAGUCUGGUUGAUACGUGGUGAGGUUAAGCUUCAUGCAGGCGUUGAGACUUCCAUCCGUUAAACGUGAUCGUAGGUUGUUCUUAAUGUUCUUUAGAUGUGAGAAAGACUGCUCACAUGCAUACGUAGAGCCAAACAUGGUCAGUAGAGCAAUACUCACACGCUGCAGUGUGUGCUAUGUGACGGGAAGCGCGUUCCAAGUUUUGACAAUCAGCUGGUCCGCGGGUUGAAGUUUUUUCAUUUCUCCCCACUUGUGUUUGCUCGCCAACUCUGCUUGCUGUCGUGCAAGUCUUCCCAAAUCUUCAUCCAGCGACUUGAACUUAUUCACCCACAUGUCUGAGGCCUUCAGGUCAGCAGCUUGUAGCUCAGGAUCUCUGACGGAGACACCGGGGCUGUAACUCAGGUCGGCCUGUCCACUGCACACUCGUGUGGAUGGGUGAUGAACUUAAAAAGACGAGUGCGCUCACGAAAUUCUCCAAAGCGCGCUUUGAAUGACUGCAGGAGAUUAGAUGUGAAGCCGCUGUGUAGUAUGGCGUGUGUCGAAGUGCUGCUUUAUAUUUGACCGUUUCAUCGAUGCAAUUUUAUCAUUGCAUAUUAGACACACUGCAGAAGCUGCUCUCUCCACAAAGGCGAAUUCCUCUGUCCAUUCCUGCUGAAAAGUACGAUACUCAUCUUUUUUUCUUUUAGACAUCUUCUUCGAUAAAAGGG
Ictalurus punctatus (channel catfish) is the source of this 3694-nucleotide long non-coding RNA. RefSeq lists it as uncharacterized. The transcript is spliced from 2 exons. The record is from RefSeq and is a predicted model, not a curated record. NCBI's taxonomy places the organism in Eukaryota, Metazoa, Chordata, Actinopteri, Siluriformes, Ictaluridae.